Molecule: ribosomal RNA, 440 nt
Filed under: uncultured bacterium
Lineage: Bacteria
Description: partial 16S ribosomal RNA
Rfam family: Bacterial small subunit ribosomal RNA
Source: RNAcentral
CCUACGGAGUGCAGCAGUAGGGAAUAUUGCUCAAUGGGGGAAACCCUGAAGCAGCAACGCCGCGUGGAGGAUGAAGGUUUUAGGAUUGUAAACUCCUUUUGUUAGAGAAGAUUAUGACGGUAUCUAACGAAUAAGCACCGGCUAACUCCGUGCCAGCAGCCGCGGUAAUACAGAGGGUGCAAGCGUUACUCGGAAUCACUGGGCGUAAAGAGUGCGUAGGCGGGGUAAUAAGUCAGAUGUGAAAUCCUGUAGCUUAACUACAGAACUGCAUUUGAAACUGUUACUCUGGAGUGUGGGAGAGGUAGGUGGAAUUCUUGGUGUAGGGGUAAAAUGCGUAGAGAUCAAGAGGAAUACUCAUUGCGAAGGCGACCUGCUGGAACAUUACUGACGCUGAUGCACGAAAGCGUGGGGAGCAAACAGGAUUAGAUACCCCUGUAGUC